Molecule: transfer RNA, 72 nt
Filed under: Triticum aestivum (bread wheat)
Lineage: Eukaryota; Viridiplantae; Streptophyta; Magnoliopsida; Poales; Poaceae
Rfam family: tRNA
About the family: Transfer RNA (tRNA) molecules are approximately 80 nucleotides in length. Their secondary structure includes four short double-helical elements and three loops (D, anti-codon, and T loops).
Source: Rfam by way of RNAcentral
GUGGUUGUACUUUAGUGGUGAGAAUUCCCUGUUGUGGCCGUGGAGACUUGGGCUCGAAUCCCAGCAGCCACA